AAAGUACAGUGUUAAGAUAAAAAGUUGUUUUACAUUCAGAUCUUGAUCUCCACACAAACAUCCCACAGCUGAAGAGUAAGUUGGGAUCACAGUAUUGGUCUAGUGUUGUCUCAUUGGACAUAAUUUACCACUGGCCAGCCUCCAAAUUCCCAUACAGGA
Molecule: small nucleolar RNA, 159 nt
Organism: Molossus molossus (Pallas's mastiff bat)
Lineage: Eukaryota; Metazoa; Chordata; Mammalia; Chiroptera; Molossidae
Product: small nucleolar RNA SNORA23
Exons: 1
Source: RefSeq, a predicted model, not a curated record